RNAcentral lists this transfer RNA (80 nucleotides) under Caudoviricetes sp. Its description in RNAcentral is "tRNA-OTHER". It matches the Rfam family "tRNA". From Rfam's summary of the family: Transfer RNA (tRNA) molecules are approximately 80 nucleotides in length. Their secondary structure includes four short double-helical elements and three loops (D, anti-codon, and T loops). The record is from RNAcentral. Lineage: Duplodnaviria; Heunggongvirae; Uroviricota; Caudoviricetes.
GGAGGAGUAGCUUAAUUGGAAAAGCCCCGGAGCUCCACAACGAUUCAGGGUUGUUGUCAGUUCGAAUCUGACCUCCUCCA